GGGCAUGUGGUGUAGUUGGUUAUCACGCUCGCUUAGCAUGAACACCAACAGGGCUGUAUGGUGAACCUGCCUGCGAGAGGGGUCCGGUUCAAUCCCGGACAUGUCCA
This is a non-coding RNA of Cerrena zonata, 107 nucleotides long. NCBI's taxonomy places the organism in Eukaryota, Fungi, Basidiomycota, Agaricomycetes, Polyporales, Cerrenaceae. The record is from the annotation of a GenBank genome assembly.